ACACAUGCAAGUCGAACGGUGAUCCUUGGAGCUUGCUUCUUGGUGAUCAGUGGCGAACGGGUGAGUAACACGUGAGUAACCUGCCCCUGACUCUGGAAUAACCCCGGGAAACCGGGGCUAAUACCGGAUAUGACAUCAUCCCGCAUGGGUGUGGUGUGGAAAGUUUUUCGGUUGGGGAUGGGCUCGCGGCCUAUCAGCUUGUUGGUGAGGUAGUGGCUCACCAAGGCGACGACGGGUAGCCGGCCUGAGAGGGCGACCGGCCACACUGGGACUGAGACACGGCCCAGACUCCUACGGGAGGCAGCAGUGGGGAAUAUUGCACAAUGGGCGAAAGCCUGAUGCAGCGACGCCGCGUGAGGGAUGACGGCCUUCGGGUUGUAAACCUCUUUCAGCUCUGAAGAAGCGAAAGUGACGGUAGGAGCAGAAGAAGCACCGGCUAACUACGUGCCAGCAGCCGCGGUAAUACGUAGGGUGCGAGCGUUGUCCGGAAUUAUUGGGCGUAAAGAGCUUGUAGGCGGUUUGUCGCGUCUGCUGUGAAAAUCCGGGGCUCAACUCCGGACUUGCAGUGGGUACGGGCAGACUAGAGUGUGGUAGGGGAGACUGGAAUUCCUGGUGUAGCGGUGAAAUGCGCAGAUAUCAGGAGGAACACCGAUGGCGAAGGCAGGUCUCUGGGCCACUACUGACGCUGAGAAGCGAAAGCGUGGGGAGCGAACAGGAUUAGAUACCCUGGUAGUCCACGCCGUAAAACGUUGGGAACUAGGUGUGGGCCUCAUUCCACGAGGUCUGUGCCCGCAGCUAACGCAWUAAGUUCCCCGCCUGGGGAGUACGGCCGCAAGGCUAAAACUCAAAGGAAUUGACGGGGGCCCGCACAAGCGGCGGAGCAUGUGGAUUAAUUCGAUGCAACGCGAAGAACCUUACCAAGGCUUGACAUACACCGGUAACGCUCAGAGAUGGGUGCCCCGUAAGGUCGGUGUACAGGUGGUGCAUGGUUGUCGUCAGCUCGUGUCGUGAGAUGUUGGGUUAAGUCCCGCAACGAGCGCAACCCUCGUUCCAUGUUGCCAGCAGCACCUUUGGGUGGCUGGGGACUCAUGGGAGACUGCCGGGGUCAACUCGGAGGAAGGUGGGGAUGACGUCAAAUCAUCAUGCCCCUUAUGUCUUGGGCUUCACACAUGCUACAAUGGCCGGUACAAAGGGCUGCGAAACCGUGAGGUGGAGCGAAUCCCAAAAAACCGGUCUCAGUUCGGAUUGGGGUCUGCAACUCGACCCCAUGAAGUCGGAGUCGCUAGUAAUCGCAGAUCAGCAACGCUGCGGUGAAUACGUUCCCGGGCCUUGUACACACCGCCCGUCAAGUCACGAAAGUCGGUAACACCCGAAGCCGGUGGCCCAACCCCUUGUGGGAGGGAGCCGUCGAAGGUGGGACUGGCGAUUGGGACUAAGUCGUAAC
This 1444-nucleotide ribosomal RNA is filed under the name Fodinibacter luteus. RNAcentral's name for it is "16S ribosomal RNA". It matches the Rfam family "Bacterial small subunit ribosomal RNA". The record is from RNAcentral. Lineage: Bacteria; Bacillati; Actinomycetota; Actinomycetes; Micrococcales; Intrasporangiaceae.